This 235-nucleotide unclassified non-coding RNA is filed under the name Hevea brasiliensis (rubber tree). The record is from RNAcentral. Lineage: Eukaryota; Viridiplantae; Streptophyta; Magnoliopsida; Malpighiales; Euphorbiaceae.
GCCAUAUUUAUAUAUAAUUAGAUAUUUGUCAAUUAUUCAAUUGGCCAUUUGUUCCUAAUAUGAGCACUAAAAACACACGACUGAAAACAUAGUCUAAACACUUUGGAUAAGUACAUUAAAAAAAAAAAAAGAUCACAAUAGAUGUAUAAUCAUAUUUAACAUGCAUUCUUGAGUAUAUCAUCAUCUUCCAUAGCUGGAAGCAAUUGGUGCUGAUUGUGGCUCACCCAUCUCCAUA